CACGUAGGGGGCAAGCGUUGUCCGGAUUUAUUGGGCGUAAAGAGCUCGUAGGCGGUCCGGUAAGUUGGGUGUGAAACCUCCAGGCUCAACCUGGAGACGCCACCCGAUACUGCUGUGACUAGAGUCCGGUAGGGGAGCGUGGAAUUCCUGGUGUAGCGGUGAAAUGCGCAGAUAUCAGGAGGAACACCAGCGGCGAAGGCGGCGCUCUGGGCCGGAACUGACGCUGAGGAGCGAAAGCGUGGGGAGCGAACAGG
This 254-nucleotide ribosomal RNA is filed under the name uncultured bacterium. RNAcentral's name for it is "partial 16S ribosomal RNA". It matches the Rfam family "Bacterial small subunit ribosomal RNA", at positions 524 to 776 of the family's 1533-position model. The record is from RNAcentral.